This 254-nucleotide ribosomal RNA is filed under the name uncultured bacterium. Its description in RNAcentral is "partial 16S ribosomal RNA". It matches the Rfam family "Bacterial small subunit ribosomal RNA", at positions 524 to 776 of the family's 1533-position model. The record is from RNAcentral.
UACGUAGGCAGCGAGCGUUGUUCGGAGUUACUGGGCGUAAAGGGUGUGUAGGCGGUUGUUUAAGUUUGGUGUGAAAUCUCCCGGCUCAACUGGGAGGGUGCGCCGAAUACUGAAUGACUUCGAGUGCGGGAGAGGAGGGUGGAAUUCCUGGUGUAGCGGUGAAAUGCGUAGAUAUCAGGAGGAACACCGGUGGUGUAGACGGCUCUCUGGACCGUAACUGACGCUGAGACACGAAAGCGUGGGUAGCAAACAGG